Molecule: ribosomal RNA, 253 nt
Filed under: uncultured bacterium
Lineage: Bacteria
Description: partial 16S ribosomal RNA
Rfam family: Bacterial small subunit ribosomal RNA
Source: RNAcentral
UACGGAGGGUGCAAGCGUUGUUCGGAAUUAUUGGGCGUAAAGAGCGUGUAGGCGGCUGAAUAAGUCAGAUGUGAAAUCCCUGGGCUUAACCCAGGAAGUGCAUUUGAAACUGAAAGACUUGAGUAUUGGAGAGGCAAGUGGAAUUCCUGGUGUAGAGGUGAAAUUCGUAGAUAUCAGGAGGAACACCGGUGGCGAAGGCGACUUUCUGGCCCUAUACUGACGCUGAGACGCGAGAGCGUGGGUAGCAAACAGG